GUGGGUAUAGCUUAGUGGUAGAGCAUGUGCUUAGCAUGUGCAAAGUAGUGGGUUCAAUCCCCAGUACCUCCA
This 72-nucleotide transfer RNA is filed under the name Camelus bactrianus (Bactrian camel). It matches the Rfam family "tRNA". From Rfam's summary of the family: Transfer RNA (tRNA) molecules are approximately 80 nucleotides in length. Lineage: Eukaryota; Metazoa; Chordata; Mammalia; Artiodactyla; Camelidae. The record is from Rfam by way of RNAcentral. RNAcentral also lists the same sequence under 2 other names.